RNAcentral lists this ribosomal RNA (463 nucleotides) under uncultured bacterium. RNAcentral describes it as "bacterial SSU rRNA". It matches the Rfam family "Bacterial small subunit ribosomal RNA", at positions 340 to 789 of the family's 1533-position model. The record is from RNAcentral.
UACGGAAGGCAGCAGUGGGGAAUAUUGCACAAUGGGCGAAAGCCUGAUGCAGCUAUGCCGCGUGUAUGAAGAAGGCCUUAGGGUUGUAAAGUACUUUCAUCGGGGAGGAAAAAACAAAACUAAUAAUUUUAUUUCUUGACGUUACCCGAAAAAGAAGCACCGGCUAACUCCGUGCCAGCAGCCGCGGUAAUACGGAGGGUGCUAGCGUUAAUCAGAAUUACUGGGCGUAAAGAGCACGUAGGUGGUUUUUUUAAGUCAGAUGUGAAAUCCCUGGGCUUUAACCUAGGAACUGCAUUUUGAAACUGAAAUACUAGAGUAUCGUAGAGGGAGGUAGAAUUCUAGGUGUAGCGGGUGAAAUGCGUAGAUAUCUGGAGGAAUACCUGUGGCGAAAGCGGCCUCCUAAACGAAUACUGACACUGAGGUGCGAAAGCGUGGGGAGCGAAACAGGGAUUAAGAUACCCGU